Molecule: ribosomal RNA, 222 nt
Filed under: uncultured bacterium
Lineage: Bacteria
Description: partial 16S ribosomal RNA
Rfam family: Bacterial small subunit ribosomal RNA
Source: RNAcentral
ACGCUCGACACCUACGGGAGACAGCAGUAGGGAAUCUUCCACAAUGGACGCAAGUCUGAUGGAGCAACGCCGCGUGAGUGAAGAAGGUCUUCGGAUCGUAAAACUCUGUUGUUAGAGAAGAACACGAGUGAGAGUAACUGUUCAUUCGAUGACGGUAUCUAACCAGCAAGUCACGGCUAACUACGUGCCAACAGCGCGGUAAUCUGAGCGGGCUGGCAAGGC